GAGAACUCAAUGAGAUGAUGUGUAUAGACUUGGCCUAAUCCUCCUGUCCGAGGUCACGGAAGGAAUGUCGCAUCCUGCCACCUCAUCUCUCACAGCCUCAGAGACACUCAAGUCAGACUCAGAAGUCAAAGCCACCGUCUCUACUGUGGUCUUCAGAAAGAGGAACAGACUGAGGUACUGAAACCUGAAACAGCCAGUCCUCACCCUCGCCUGAAAGAACCAGGACUUCACUUUCACACGGUGCUCCAUGGUCGGCAGGCAGGACUCUUCUGCCCACCGCGUGUUGCCAGGCAAUCGGGCAGUUGGAGAGCGCUGGGAUUACAGAUGGGGGCCACCACAAACCACCCUUGCAUGCUUCAAGCCACGGACAGGUGAAGAUGGUCCUGGGUGUUCUAGCCUGCCAGGCAGGAGGCUCCUCAGCCCACGUUGUCCUGGGGCAGACCUAGAUAAGCUCGUCUGUGGCAUGGAAUCAGAAGAAAACAACACCAACCCUGGGCUCCUAGCCCAUCAAGGCGUUCUUGCUUGCUGGGUGGGGUACUGCUAGACCCCCUGGAUUGCACGAUCUCUUGAGACUGGAGUUAUAGAUGGUUGUGAGCCUUCAUGUGCGUUCCAGGAACUGAACCCAGCUCUUCUGCAAGAACAGCAAGUGUACUUAACCACUGAACAUCUCUCCAGAACCCAGGGACCCCAAUAUUCUACCAUUCCUCCCUCUUCAUGACAUAGUUCCGCAUGACUCGGAUGAGAGGGGGUGUGUGUAGAGUCUUGGGAGUUUGGGAUGCUGUGGACCAGGCUAACCUUGACAUUUCUUGUAGUCCAGGUAUCAUGGGAUUCUGAGAGUCAUUAGGUCACAUACAUAAUUUAAAAAAAUAAAAAAGUUCGACAACCUGAGUUCAGUUCCCAGAAUCCACGGUGGGAGGUGAGAAUGAAGUCUUGCAAGCUGAAGACAUCUGCAUGUGUCAUGGCACAUAUAUACUUGUGAUGUGGGAAGGUCAUUGG
This is a long non-coding RNA of Microtus oregoni (creeping vole), 996 nucleotides long. RefSeq lists it as uncharacterized. Lineage: Eukaryota; Metazoa; Chordata; Mammalia; Rodentia; Cricetidae. The record is from RefSeq and is a predicted model, not a curated record. The transcript is spliced from 6 exons.